GACGAACGCUGGCGGCGCGCCUAACACAUGCAAGUCGAACGGAGCUGCGAGAAGCUUGCUUUUCUUAGCUUAGUGGCGAACGGGUGAGUAACGCGUGAGUAACCUGCCCUGGAGUGGGGGACAACAGUUGGAAAUGACUGCUAAUACCGCAUAAGCCCACGAUCCGGCAUCGGAUUGAGGGAAAAGGAUUUAUUCGCUUCAGGAUGGACUCGCGUCCAAUUAGCUAGUUGGUGAGGUAACGGCCCACCAAGGCGACGAUUGGUAGCCGGACUGAGAGGUUGAACGGCCACAUUGGGACUGAGACACGGCCCAGACUCCUACGGGAGGCAGCAGUGGGGGAUAUUGCACAAUGGGGGAAACCCUGAUGCAGCGACGCCGCGUGGAGGAAGAAGGUUUUCGGAUUGUAAACUCCUGUCGUUAGGGACGAUAAUGACGGUACCUAACAAGAAAGCACCGGCUAACUACGUG
RNAcentral lists this ribosomal RNA (468 nucleotides) under uncultured bacterium. RNAcentral describes it as "partial 16S ribosomal RNA". It matches the Rfam family "Bacterial small subunit ribosomal RNA", at positions 28 to 507 of the family's 1533-position model. The record is from RNAcentral.